RNAcentral lists this ribosomal RNA (325 nucleotides) under uncultured Bacteroidota bacterium. RNAcentral describes it as "bacterial SSU rRNA". It matches the Rfam family "Bacterial small subunit ribosomal RNA", at positions 28 to 351 of the family's 1533-position model. Lineage: Bacteria; Pseudomonadati; Bacteroidota. The record is from RNAcentral.
GAUGAACGCUAGCGGCAGGCCUAACACAUGCAAGUCGAGGGGUAACAGGGGUAGCAAUAUCCGCUGACGACCGGCGCACGGGUGAGUAACGCGUUUGUAACCUACCUUUAACUGGAAGAUAGCCCGAAGAAAUUCGGAUUAAUACUCCAUAACACUAUAGUUUGGCAUCAUUUUAUAGUUAAAGCUCCGGCGGUUAAAGAUGGGCAUGCGUAACAUUAGCUAGUUGGUGAGGUAAUAGCUCACCAAGGCUACGAUGUUUAGGGGGUCUGAGAGGAUAGUCCCCCACACUGGUACUGAGACACGGACCAGACUCCUACGGGUGCUG